UCCUGGCUUAGGAUGAACGCUAGCUACAGGCUUAACACAUGCAAGUCGAGGGGUAACAUGAUUGGAGCUUGCUCCGAUUGAUGACGACCGGCGCACGGGUGAGUAACGCGUAUCCAACCUGCCCCAUGCUCAGGGAUAACCUUCCGAAAGGGAGCCUAAUACCUGAUGUUGUGCGACGAUGGCAUCAGAAUUGCACGAAAGAUUCAUCGGCAUGGGAUGGGGAUGCGUCUGAUUAGCUUGUUGGCGGGGUAACGGCCCACCAAGGCGACGAUCAGUAGGGGUUCUGAGAGGAAGGUCCCCCACACUGGUACUGAGACACGGACCAGACUCCUACGGGAGGCAGCAGUGAGGAAUAUUGGUCAAUGGGCGGGAGCCUGAACCAGCCAAGUAGCGUGCAGGAAGACGGCCCUACGGGUUGUAAACUGCUUUUAUGAGGGGAUAAAGUGGGCUACGUGUAGCUUAUUGCAGGUACCUCAUGAAUAAGGACCGGCUAAUUCCGUGCCAGCCGCUGC
RNAcentral lists this ribosomal RNA (512 nucleotides) under uncultured bacterium. RNAcentral's name for it is "bacterial SSU rRNA". It matches the Rfam family "Bacterial small subunit ribosomal RNA", at positions 17 to 518 of the family's 1533-position model. The record is from RNAcentral.